GCGGGCGUAGCUCAGUGGUAGAGCAUCUGCUUCCCAAGCAGAGGGUCGUGAGUUCGAGUCUCAUCGCCCGCUCCU
RNAcentral lists this transfer RNA (75 nucleotides) under bacterium. RNAcentral describes it as "tRNA-Gly". It matches the Rfam family "tRNA". From Rfam's summary of the family: Transfer RNA (tRNA) molecules are approximately 80 nucleotides in length. Their secondary structure includes four short double-helical elements and three loops (D, anti-codon, and T loops). The record is from RNAcentral. RNAcentral also lists the same sequence under 1 other name.